GCCGGCGUGGCGCAAUGGUAGCGCGUAGCUUUCCUAAUGCUUAUAUAAGCAGGCUAAGGCUGAAGUUGCGGGUUCGAUCCCCGUCGUCGGUU
RNAcentral lists this transfer RNA (92 nucleotides) under Collybiopsis luxurians FD-317 M1. Its description in RNAcentral is "Gymnopus luxurians FD-317 M1 tRNA". It matches the Rfam family "tRNA". Rfam says of the family: Transfer RNA (tRNA) molecules are approximately 80 nucleotides in length. Their secondary structure includes four short double-helical elements and three loops (D, anti-codon, and T loops). Lineage: Eukaryota; Fungi; Basidiomycota; Agaricomycetes; Agaricales; Omphalotaceae. The record is from Rfam by way of RNAcentral.